Molecule: ribosomal RNA, 743 nt
Filed under: Acinetobacter sp.
Lineage: Bacteria; Pseudomonadati; Pseudomonadota; Gammaproteobacteria; Moraxellales; Moraxellaceae
Description: bacterial SSU rRNA
Rfam family: Bacterial small subunit ribosomal RNA
Source: RNAcentral
AAUUUAACCUCUGGCAGCAGGCUUAGACAUGCAGUCGAGCGGGGUGAGGUACUUCGGUACUGAUCCUAGCGGCGGACGGGUGAGUAAUGCUUAGGAAUCUGCCAUUUAGUGGGGGACAACAUUCCGAAAGGAAUGCUAAUACCGCAUACGUCCUACGGGAGAAAGCAGGGGAUCUUCGGACCUUGCGCUAAAUGAUGAGCCUAAGUCGGAUUAGCUAGUUGGUGGGGUAAAGGCCUACCAAGGCGACGAUCUGUAGCGGGUCUGAAAGGAUGAUCCGCCACACUGGGACUGAAACACGGCCCAGACUCCUACGGGAGGCAGCAGUGGGGAAUAUUGGACAAUGGGGGGAACCCUGAUCCAGCCAUGCCGCGUGUGUGAAGAAGGCCUUUUGGUUGUAAAGCACUUUAACCGAGGAGGAGGCUACCUAGAUUAAUACUCUGGGAUAGUGGACGUUACUCGCAGAAUAAGCACCGGCUAACUCUGUGCCAGCAGCCGCGGUAAUACAGAGGGUGCGAGCGUUAAUUGGAUUUUACUGGGCGUAAAGCGUGCGUAGGCGGCUUUUUAAGUCGGAUGUGAAAUCCCCGAGCUUAACUUGGGAAUUGCAUUCGAUACUGGGAAGCUAGAGUAUGGGAGAGGAUGGUAGAAUUCCAGGUGUAGCGGUGAAAUGCGUAGAGAUCUGGAGGAAUACCGAUGGCGAAGGCAGCCAUCUGGCCUAAUACUGACGCGGAGUACGCAUAGCUAGC